This 313-nucleotide long non-coding RNA is filed under the name Homo sapiens (human). Its description in RNAcentral is "LNC_000979". Lineage: Eukaryota; Metazoa; Chordata; Mammalia; Primates; Hominidae. The record is from RNAcentral.
GGCCGUGCCCUGCAGAGAUGGGAGGCGAGGCCGUGCCCUGCUGAGAUGGGAGGUGAGGCCGUGCCCUGCUGAGGUGGGAGGUGAGGCCGUGCCCUGCUGAGGUGGGAGGUGAGGCCGUGCCCUGCCGAGGGCUUCGUUAUACAGGGAGGAUAACUGGAGGGAAUGUGAGGUCAGUGGAGGGUGUUAGUAUUUUACAUGGGAAAUAAUAGAUACUGAAAAGGGAAGAAAUUAUAUGCAAGAGAGAGGGAUUAAUUAUAGAAACCAAGACCUUGAGUCAGUGACAGGGUAGGGGAACCAGGGCAGCAGCAGAGGG